RNAcentral lists this non-coding RNA (22 nucleotides) under Arabidopsis thaliana (thale cress). Lineage: Eukaryota; Viridiplantae; Streptophyta; Magnoliopsida; Brassicales; Brassicaceae. The record is from RNAcentral.
UAACUUUCAGAAAUGUCACAGG